GGCGGCAGGCCUAACACAUGCAAGUCGAGCGGGCAUCGCAAGAUGUCAGCGGCAGACGGGAGAGUAACACGUGGGAACGUACCCUUCAGUUCGGAAUAACCCAGGGAAACUUGGACUAAUACCGAAUACGUCCGUAAGGAGAAAGAUUUAUCGCUGAAGGAUCGGCCCGCGUCCGAUUAGCUAGUUGGUGGGGUAAUGGCCCACCAAGGCGACGAUCGGUAGCUGGUCUGAGAGGAUGAUCAGCCUCACUGGGACUGAGACACGGCCCAGACUCCUACGGGAGGCAGCAGUGGGGAAUAUUGGACAAUGGGCGCAAGCCUGAUCCAGCCAUGCCGCGUGGGUGAUGAAGGCCCUAGGGUUGUAAAGCCCUUUCGGCGGGGAAGAUAAUGACGGUACCCGCAGAAGAAGCCCCGGCUAACUUCGUGCCAGCAGCCGCGGUAAUACGAAGGGGGCUAGCGUUGCUCGGAAUCACUGGGCGUAAAGCGCACGU
RNAcentral lists this ribosomal RNA (490 nucleotides) under uncultured Alphaproteobacteria bacterium. Its description in RNAcentral is "bacterial SSU rRNA". It matches the Rfam family "Bacterial small subunit ribosomal RNA", at positions 38 to 572 of the family's 1533-position model. The record is from RNAcentral. Lineage: Bacteria; Pseudomonadati; Pseudomonadota; Alphaproteobacteria.